ACAAUGGUCUGUAAGUGGUCUAUCAAGUGCUGAGGACACAGGACACAUGAACCUUUAUUCUAGGAGUCCUUGGGGGAGCUUCUCAUUUAGUGCCAUCCUUGGUACUUCCUACUUUCCCCAACCUUAAAGGGGAUGUUAGGCCCCUGAGUGAGGGUGGGAUUCACCCUUGUCUUGCCUGGUACAGUGGAAGGCCCUGCCAGGCUUAGGUCUUGGACCACACACUGUGUUAAACCUGAGCUGUGGGAGACACACAACUACGCAGUGACAAGUGCCAGGAAGGUGGCUGUUGAGAGCUCUGCGGGAGUCCCGAGAAGAAUCCCCAGCGGUCACUAGAGGCCUUGACGAAAGAGAUUUCCAGGAGACUCAGCAUAGAUGUUGAAUCUUCCUAUUGGAGGAGAAGCUCCCGACUCCCUUCUAGUCAUGGCAGAGCACGGAAUUCAGAACAAUUCUACUGGUGAGGACAAGGCCUCUAUUGUAGUCAGAGUCCUCUCAAAGGACAAAAGCAGAUAUGGCUGCCUUGGAUCAGCUGCACGCAGUGCACUCCCGACCUGGCCGCUGGAGGCGCGGCUCCCAUCACCUGCACCGCGACUGCUAGGGACUGUCAAAGCGGCAGCAUGCCAUCGCCUUCUCCAGCCCUUCUCCAGCAGCACAACCAGUCCUCCCAGCUGGUCCUCUGAGGACCAGCCGUCAUGGCGACGUGGUGGCAAUGUCCCCAGGCAGCCGACCAUCCUGGGCUUCUCUUUGGACAGGCCUGGGCCAGGACCUUAGGGGAUCUCUGUGUCCAUGGUAUAAAUCUGAAUGAGAUCAGACACAAUAUUAUCAAUGAUUGGCUUGGUAA
This is a long non-coding RNA of Homo sapiens (human), 838 nucleotides long. The record is from Ensembl. NCBI's taxonomy places the organism in Eukaryota, Metazoa, Chordata, Mammalia, Primates, Hominidae.